Nerophis lumbriciformis (worm pipefish) is the source of this 2115-nucleotide non-coding RNA. Lineage: Eukaryota; Metazoa; Chordata; Actinopteri; Syngnathiformes; Syngnathidae. The record is from RefSeq and is a predicted model, not a curated record.
CCAUCCGUUUCAAUACAUUCGUAAUCUGUUGAAUCGCUUAAGCCGCUGAAAUCUGAGUCUGAAUCCGACGGGUGGUUAAAAUCAGGCACUUUGAACCUUUUUUUAGGGACAUUGCGUGAUGGGUAAAAUUUUGAAAAAAACUUCGAAAAAUAUAAUAAGCCACUGGGAACUGAUUUUUAAUGGUUUUAACCCUUCUGAAAUUGUGAUAAUGUUCCCCUUUAAAGUUUGUCUAAGUCUAAGUCUAAGUCUUAGUAUGAAAAUGGACCUGACUAGACCCGCUCAUUGGCUGUGCGCCUUAUAAUCCGGUGUACCCUAUGUUCCGGAAAAUACUCCAGAUGUCCUUUUCCCACUUUCAAAACGGGUUUUGAGUUUGCACCGUACUUCCAUGCUCACAUUCCAUCCAGUCUGAUAACCUGAAGGGGGCCUUGGGGAACGCACACAGCUGCACUCGCAGCAAAUAUGCAGUGUUUGCCUUCAGGACCUUGCCAUCCCAGCGAGGCUGCUUCACUGGCACUGAUUGACGUCUUGGAAACGCAGCAUCAAGACAUUUUCCGUAAAUGCGGUAAUGGGGAAAUAUUCCAAGCACGUCUGCCGCUGAAUUACGAACUUUUGUCUUCGUUGGUGAAAAUGGAGGCCCGGUUUCUAAGUAGCUGACAUUUUGCACGUGACAGAACUCCAGCUGCUCUACAGUGUGUUCCGCUUGCAAUCAAAUACUUCCUCUGAAACAUUUUGGCACUUCCUCGUUUUAGCCAGCUUCCCUAAAAACCUGUGGGAAGGGGAAGUAGGACACUUUGAGGUACCUUGACAAACUGCAGCGCUGUGUAGCUGAGGUUUAACAUUCAGCUCAUCAGAUUUCAGUUUGGAUUUUGGGCUCAUGACUUUUACACAUUUAUGCGAAUCAAGUUGCAAAGCACCAAAGUUACGAUAUUCAGCUGGAGCCACGGACCCAAGGCGUAACCAGGGGCAACAGCAUUGGCAGACUUGGCAAAUUAUGUAAACAUGAAGAUUCCUUCUAUUUUUUUCUGUCAACCAAGAUAAAUCUUGCGUCGUCAGACAAAUACUUGCAUCCGCACAUUUUUUUAAAACAACCAAGGAUGUUCUAAUCAGGGUUUUAUGCUGCCGAUUCCGAUCAUCCAUGAGUGAGAACGGUCAGUACCAAAUACCGAUGAGGGCAAUGGACAGUUUAACGAUAUCAACACAAUAUUUAAACUAGUUCCUUAUUCUCUUUUAUUACAUGCACAUUUAUGAGCAAAACAAAGUCUACAGCAGUGUUUUUCAACCUUUUAUGAGCCCAGGCACAUUUGUUGCGUUGAAAAAAAUCCGGAGGCACACCAGCAGCAGAAAUCAUUAAAAAACACAACUCAGUUGACAGUAAAAAGUCGUAAUUGUUGGAUAUGACUUUAAACCAUAACCAACCUUGUAUCAAUAUAGGUCUUGUCUCAAAGUAGGUGUACUACUGUAUCAAUAUAGGUCUUGUCUCAAAGUAGGUGUACUGUAUCAAUAUAGGUCUUGUCUCAAAGUAGGUGUACUACUGUAUCAAUAUAGGUCUUGUCUCAAAGUAGGUGUACUGUAUCAAUAUAGGUCUUGUCUCAAAGUAGGUGUACUGUAUCAGUAUAGGUUUUGUCUCAAAGUAGGUGUACUGUAUCAAUAUAGGUCUUGUCUCAAAGUAGGUGUACUGUAUCAAUAUAGGUCUUGUCUCAAAGUAGGUGUACUACUGUAUCAAUAUAGGUCUUGUCUCAAAGUAGGUGUACUACUGUAUCAAUAUAGGUCUUGUCUCAAAGUAGGUGUACUGUAUCAAUAUAGGUCUUGUCUCAAAGUAGGUGUACUACUGUAUCAAUAUAGGUCUUGUCUCAAAGUAGGUGUACUGUAUCAAUAUAGGUCUUGUCUCAAAGUAGGUGUACUGUAUCAAUAUAGGUCUUGUCUCAAAGUAGGUGUACUACUGUAUCAAUAUAGGUCUUGUCUCAAAGUAGGUGUACUGUAUCAGUAUAGGUCUUGUCUCAAAGUAGGUGUACUGUAUCAAUAUAGGUCUUGUCUCAAAGUAGGUGUACUACUGUAUCAAUAUAGGUCUUGUCUCAAAGUAGGUGUACUGUAUCAAUAUAGGUCUUGUCUCAAAGU